AAAGCGUGCGCAGGCGGUUUUGUAAGUCUGUCGUGAAAUCCCCGGGCUCAACCUGGGAAUGGCGAUGGAGACUGCAAGGCUAGAGUUUGGCAGAGGGGGGUAGAAUUCCACGUGUAGCAGUGAAAUGCGUAGAUAUGUGGAGGAACACCGAUGGCGAAGGCAGCCCCCUGGGUCAAAACUGACGCUCAUGCACGAAAGCGUGGGGAGCAAACAGGAUUAGAUACCCUUGU
RNAcentral lists this ribosomal RNA (230 nucleotides) under uncultured bacterium. RNAcentral describes it as "partial 16S ribosomal RNA". It matches the Rfam family "Bacterial small subunit ribosomal RNA", at positions 562 to 791 of the family's 1533-position model. The record is from RNAcentral.